This is a long non-coding RNA of Humulus lupulus (European hop), 4436 nucleotides long. RefSeq lists it as uncharacterized. The transcript has 4 exons. NCBI's taxonomy places the organism in Eukaryota, Viridiplantae, Streptophyta, Magnoliopsida, Rosales, Cannabaceae. The record is from RefSeq and is a predicted model, not a curated record.
GGUUGAGAGUGGAGUUUCUGAGGUGGAGAAACUGCCAUAAAAGAUUAACAUUUGUGGUAGUUGCUGGUCCUUCCAGAACCAGUGAAAAAUUAGUGAAGGAUAAGGGAAACUUUGUAUACAUCCUUCGAUUCCUCUCUUCUUUUUUUGGUCCCAGAAAAAUAAAUGCUUCUUUUGUUUUACACUUAAUCUCGUUUUCCCCAAGCUUUUUUAUUUGUUUCAACCUUUACUUUUCACUUCAAGCUAGCUAGCUUCUUUCUCUUUUUGUGGUCUGGAAUUGUUUUCUCGGUUCUUUCUCAUGAAAUUAAAUUUGGGAAUAGUCCCAUGUGCUUUGAAGUUCCAUGUUUUUGCUCAUGAACUUGUGAGAAAGUAAAAACACAGGUCUGUAACUCCUUAACUCUGACCAUUGAUGAAGUGGAGUAGAAAAGGAGUUAACAUCGAAAUAAAUGCGUUUUAUUCGUUGUAAAUUUUUGUUUCAUUACUUGAUUUAGGUCGUUGAUGAAUAGGUCUAGAAUAUAAAUAUAUAUAUUUAUAUAUAUAUAUUAACACUGCUUUUGGACUUUUUAUGUAUUUAUAUUGGUUUAAUCGAUUUUUCUUUUGGACAGAAUAUAUUGAUAGUUUUAGUUUUAUAUCUAGUGAUUUUUUCUGUCAAAUCAGGCGACUUGGAGUCUUAGGUGUUGUUAAAUUGAACUGUAUGUAAUUGAGAUUAUGUUAAUGAUUAUGAUAUUGUAGUUAAGAUGUUUAAAUAAAUGUCUUAUAGAAAAAAGUGAAUAUUUUGGGAGUUUUGUUUGGGAAAUUUGAGAAAUGAUUCAUUAAAUUGGGUCAUAUAACAAAAUUAUUCUAGCCACUCUACACAUGUCAUAUUUGUCCUAUUGUUUCUCUUAGUUCCCAAAAUACCAUUAGCAUUUGUUUCCUACAAUCUCUCUAUAUUCUCUCGGUCUCGAAGGAAAAAAAACUCACAAACCCAAUUUAAUUCGUAAGAACCCAAGAAAAUCGGAGAAGCAUUGUCUUCCACGACCACGACCAAGCAUCUGUGGCUCGGAUAUCGUCAGAGUUGACAAUUGGAGAAGGCAAAGGAGAAGAACGUCGAGCAAACAGAUCAAGCUUUGAGGAAACAACCCCAAAGAAAGCGAAGGUGAGGGAUUUCCUUUUUUAUCUGCAAUAUGUGUAUGUGCCUAGUUUUUUGUUGAUUUUUGUUCAUAGGAUAGAUCGGGACUGAGAAAUAACAAAACCUGGGUUUUUUUUUUCAAGCUUUUGGACCCACAUCGAUCGAAAUCGACAUACCUUGAUGCUUAGUCACUCGAUAGGCCUCGAUGGGUCUCGAUAGAAAUCGAUAAACUUAUUUAGGUGUAGAAUUUGAUUGUGCCUUGAUAGACCUCGACAGGUCUCGAUGCAGCUCGAUUAUACAUAAAUGUAGAGGUUACCUCGACAAGCCUCGAUAUAAAGUGAACAAAUUGGGAAUUUAUAGUAUUUUGAGUGUCUCGAUAGACCUCAAUAGAAAUUGAUAGGCUUAUUUAGGUGUAGAAUCUGAAUGUGCCUCGAUAGACCUCGACAAGUCUCGAUGUAGCUCGAUUGUACAUAAAUGUAGAGGUUACCUCGAUAGGCCUCGAUGGGCCUCGACAAGCCUCGAUAUAAAGUGAAUAAAUUGGGAAUUUUUAGGAUUUUGAGUGUCUCGAUAGACCUCGACAUGUCUCGAUAGGCUUAUUUAGGUGUAGAAUCUGAAUGUGCCUCGAUAGGCCUCGACAGGUCUCGAUGCAACUCGAUUGUACAUAAGUGUAGAGGUUACCUCACCUCGACAAGCCUCGAUGAGUCUCGACAGACCUCCAUGAUUGCUUUAUUUAAAUGUAACUCAAUAUGCCUCGACAGACCUCGAUGUGCCUCGAUAAAAAUAGUUUUUCUUUGAACAUGCAUUGCCUCAACAAGCCUCGAUAGGCCUCGAUAGUUACCAAAUUGCUUAAAAAUGUUAUUAACAGUUUUAUUUUUCAGAUGUCUGGCCUUGUUGUGUCGUUGGAGAAGCAUUUUCCUGCUUGUGUUACUUAUAGGGGUAGUGCUUAUUUGGAUACCCUUAUAGAGCAGUUUCAGAGGCAUGGGCUGAUUGAAUAGGCAAAGACAUGCCCAUUGAGACAGUUCUUUAAUGCGAAGGCCUUUAGUUUUUAUGGGGUUCUACUGCACCAGUUGAUGCUGCGUAAGGCUGAAAGCAAGAAGCUUGAAGAAGGUCAGUUCUACGUGGGCAACUCUCAAUGUAGAUUUGGUAUUGUGGAGUUAGGCCUAGUUACCAGCCUGAAUUUUGGAAACAGGCCGUCCCCAAAAGAGAUCAUAUUUCAAAUGAUUAGAUCAUCUAUGAAUAUUUUAAUGGUGAGACGAAUGUUAGUUUCAAUCAGUUGGAAGAUGCUCUGAAGGCCUCGACAAACCCAGAAGAUGCAUUUAAGUUGGGUUUAUGCUACUUGAUAGCGGGGGUAUUGUAUGCCCCUGAGAAGACAACCAACAUAUGGGGUGAUUCACCAAAGCUGGUUGAUGAUUUUGAUUACUUUUUCAAGUAUUCGUGGGGGAAGUUAUCCUUUAAGAAGUUGUGUAGAGGAGUUCAGAAAGACAUGAAGAAGCAAUUGAAACACUACGAGGACAAGAAGAAAGAUGGUUCAGGGAUACAACAGAAGGAGUCGAAGUACAUUUUUUAUGGCUAUGCCCCGCACUUCAGUAUUGGGCUUUUGAGGCCAUGCCAGAUAUUGGGAGGAAAUUUGGUGAAAAGAGUGGGAACCAGAUUCCCAGGAUGCUUAGUUGGUCUACCAAGAUCGAUAUCUUUCCUUCUAUAGCUCAGUUGGUUCCGUUGUUCGGCAAGUCUCGAUUGGUGGUAUUUUCCAUGUUGAAGCCACAUCUCAGUGAGGCAGACUAUUACAAUAGCCUCCCAGACAUUGAUGGUCAGUUAUUCCCUGAGUUGGGAUCAGUUGUAGUGGAGGUUGAGACUGCAGUGGAGGAAGUAGAGCCGAAGAAGGAGGCAUAGAAGUUGGUGGAGGUUACAAAGGCAACUUCUGUAUUUUACGAGGAUGUCCAAAUGGUUGAGGAGGGCACUACACAGGCCACUGCACCUUUCCUCUAGUCAUGUUGCCCAGCCUGAUUAUGAGCAGUUGAUGCAAAGGCUCCAGAGGAUUGAGGAGGGCCAGUCUAAUUAUGGGCAGUUGGUGUAAAGGCUCCAGAGAGUUGAGGAGGGUCAGGCGACUUUACUUAAGAAUCAAACUAUGAUCAUAGAUCAGUUGGCACAGUUGAUUUCAGUGGUCUCUGAUCGAUCCAGGAAACAAAGUUGACCCACCCACCCACACUCAGAUACAGAGUCAGAUGUUAUGACUCAUGACUACGAGCCCGAUGAUCCACCUUCCACUCCACAGGCCUAGAUAUUUGUUAUUGUUAGUGAUGUCAAUAGUCCUAGUGUACUAGUGUUACAGCCUGAGGAGGCAGCUGGCCUUGAAUUUAUCAGGAAGAAACGCAAGCCUAAGCGUUAUGAUGACUUCACCGACCCUACGAAGAGGCCAAGAUCAGAUAAACAGGCACUAGUUACAGACCCUUUGAGGAAGUGUGACCAGCAACAAGAGAAGAGUUUCCAUGAGUGGCUGAUCGGGAAGAUUGACAACAAGAGGGAUCGAUUUGUCCAUAUUGGGACACACGGUGUGACAUAGUUCUUGCAAUUGCACACCAUUCAGACUUGGCUUUGGGAUUCGCAUAUUGAUACCGCUCUACACAUGCUACGCCGUCGACGCCACUUUUAUCAUGCUACAUUUUGGCAGGAUGUUGCUAUCAAGAGCACCACCUUCCCCUAGGUGUGCCUAGGUCGUUGGAAUCAUUUCAAGGAGGCCGGUGAGAAGUAUACAUGUGGUGAGGACUUGCUUAAAUUGUUUAAGGGCGACCCAGAUCAAUACAUCGUAUCAUGGCAGCUGUUGAUGAAGUAUAUUUUUCCUUGCACAUCCCACAAGCACAGCAUUAAGUCGCCAUUGAAGUGUCCAUUCCAUUGUGGUGCAUUAACAUAUAUGAUUCCAACCAUAUCGUGCUUAGUCAGUCUCUGUUGGCGGAAGUCAUUAAGCCUUGGUGCCUAUUGAUGCCUUCGUUGUUGUACACGUCUAGCUUGUUUGACGACCAUGAGGAGCUCCAGUUGCAACCUGGCCAGAAACUAAAGCCAUUCCAGUACUGUCCUCUUGGCCCUGAGGAGUUCCAUCAGACUAAGACAAUUGGGGAUUGUGGUAUGUUUGCCAUCAAAUAUAUCGAGCAUUUGAUUGCCGAGCUACCACUCGAUAUUGUUACCAAUGCGAACAUGCAGCUUUUCAGAACCAAAUGGUGUGUGGACCUAUCCUUUCAAACAUUGGCACCGUGUUGAUAUUUUGUUGUAUAUGGUUCAAUGGAUGAACAUUAUUUUUUUGUACAUACUCGAAAAAAUAUCACUAAUUUUCUACCUC